Cucumis melo (muskmelon) is the source of this 425-nucleotide long non-coding RNA. RefSeq lists it as uncharacterized. Lineage: Eukaryota; Viridiplantae; Streptophyta; Magnoliopsida; Cucurbitales; Cucurbitaceae. The transcript has 3 exons. The record is from RefSeq and is a predicted model, not a curated record.
UCCCUCUGUAUCUCUCGUCUCGCAUCUCUACUAUCUACGAUCUCACCACAUCUCUUCUUCCAUAUUUGGCCAACUCAUUUUUCUCUCUCGGUUUCAUUUCUUCAUGAAGAUAAAAGAAAAGUGGGCAGAAGCACUUGAAAGUUUGGAUGAUGGAGUCCUAGGAUCGGAUAAGAGCUUUGGCAUGAAGCAAAGGCCAGAUGGUGAUAUUGAAAUCGAUGAAAAAUAUUGGAAGAAUGAUUUCUGUAUUCCAACCUGCCAAAAGUGCAACGGAGUGCUCAAACCUGAUGAAAGGGAAAGGUCUUUAAUAACACUAAAGUGAAGCAUAGAGUGAAGUAUGAUUAUUCGAUUAGUAACAAGCUAGCAGAUAUGAUGAUUAUUCAUGGAGGAAAUAUGGCCAAAAGCCAAUCAAGGGUUCUCCACACCCA